RNAcentral lists this long non-coding RNA (471 nucleotides) under Brassica napus (rape). RNAcentral describes it as "long non-coding RNA (BNAP_LNC009759)". Lineage: Eukaryota; Viridiplantae; Streptophyta; Magnoliopsida; Brassicales; Brassicaceae. The record is from RNAcentral.
UGUAAGUUUUUUAUAUAAGAGAACUUGUAUCAAAGAAAUUCUUCUACCUCCAAUUUAAGGAUUGACUCUUAAAUACCACAAUGACAUGGUUGUUCUUCCAGCUAGGGUGUAUUUAGUAAACUUUUAACGCAUCAAUUCUCGUGGAAAAAAUUAUUCAAAGGGGAGGAUAUAAUAGGGGCAUCAGAACCAUGGUUGGACCAUACCCACACCAGUCACAUAGGAGCUAGUUGCAACAGAGGUUCACUCCAAGAGCAUAUCUAACCAACCAGGAGGACGUCAUCCAUGAAAUGACUUCUUCUAGAUACUCAACUCAUAAGACCAUCAUGUCAAAAUUGAAUCAACAGAAAAACUUCACAGACCAAAGAGAUAUGGAUUUUACAAGUCAGGUUCUUCACAAAACCUGAUGGGACAUAUCUUGCAUUUUCAAGUCUAUGCCAGUCUAACCAAGAGUGUACUCCGAUCAAAGCCACU